Molecule: ribosomal RNA, 428 nt
Filed under: uncultured Pseudomonadota bacterium
Lineage: Bacteria; Pseudomonadati; Pseudomonadota
Description: uncultured proteobacterium partial 16S ribosomal RNA
Rfam family: Bacterial small subunit ribosomal RNA
Source: RNAcentral
UGGGGAAUCUUGCGCAAUGGGAGCAAUCCUGACGCAGCAACGCCGCGUGGGUGAUGAAGGUCUUCGGAUCGUAAAGCCCUGUCGGAGGGGAAGAUGCUUGGAACGUCUAAUAGAUGAGCCAGGUGACGGUACCCUCAAAGGAAGCACCGGCUAACUCUGUGCCAGCAGCCGCGGUAAUACAGAGGGUGCAAGCGUUGUUCGGAAUUAUUGGGCGUAAAGGGAGUGUAGGCGGUUUGGAAAGUCUUCUGUGAAAUCUACGGGCUUAGCCUGUAAAGUGCAGAGGAAACUACUAGGCUUGAGUGUCGGAGAGGAUAGGGGAAUACCCAGUGUAGAGGUGAAAUUCGUAGAGAUUGGGUGGAACACCAGUGGCGAAGGCGCCUAUCUGGCUGACAACUGACGCUGAGACUCGAAAGCAUGGGGAGCAAACA